UGCCAAUCCUUGGGGCUGCCAUGGGAACC
RNAcentral lists this non-coding RNA (29 nucleotides) under Mus musculus (house mouse). Lineage: Eukaryota; Metazoa; Chordata; Mammalia; Rodentia; Muridae. The record is from RNAcentral.